RNAcentral lists this ribosomal RNA (378 nucleotides) under uncultured Planctomycetota bacterium. Its description in RNAcentral is "bacterial SSU rRNA". It matches the Rfam family "Bacterial small subunit ribosomal RNA", at positions 521 to 896 of the family's 1533-position model. The record is from RNAcentral. Lineage: Bacteria; Pseudomonadati; Planctomycetota.
UAAUACGUAUGGUGCGAACGUUAUUCGGAAUUACUGGGCAUAAAGGGCGCGUAGGCGGUUUGGUAAGUCUGUAUGUGAAAUCCCUCGGCUUAACCGAGGAACUGCAUCGGAUACUGCCAGACUAGAGUGCAGGAGGGGAGGGCGGAAUUCCUGGUGGAGCGGUGAAAUGCGUAGAUAUCAGGAGGAACGCCAGUGGCGAAAGCGGCUCUCUGGCCUGCAACUGACGCCGAGGCGCGAAAGCUAGGGGAGCAAACGGGAUUAGAUACCCCGGUAGUCCUAGCCCUAAACGAUGGGCACUAGGCAGAGGAAGUUUUAGAGCUUUCUCUGCUGUAGCUAAUGUAUUAAGUGCCCCGCCUGGGGAGUAUGGUCGCAAGGCUA